RNAcentral lists this ribosomal RNA (892 nucleotides) under Pestalotiopsis oryzae. RNAcentral describes it as "LSU rRNA". It matches the Rfam family "Eukaryotic large subunit ribosomal RNA", at positions 40 to 957 of the family's 3401-position model. The record is from RNAcentral. Lineage: Eukaryota; Fungi; Ascomycota; Sordariomycetes; Amphisphaeriales; Sporocadaceae.
AUAUCAAUAAGCGGAGGAAAAGAAACCAACAGGGAUUGCCUUAGUAACGGCGAGUGAAGCGGCAACAGCUCAAAUUUGAAAUCUGGCCCUCGGGUCCGAAUUGUAAUUUGUAGAGGAUGAUUUUGGUGCGGUAUCUUCCGAGUUCCUUGGAACAGGACGCCUUAGAGGGUGAGAGCCCCGUACGGUUGAAUGCCUAGCCUCUGUAAAUCUCCUUCGACGAGUCGAGUAGUUUGGGAAUGCUGCUCUAAAUGGGAGGUAAAUUUCUUCUAAAGCUAAAUAUUGGCCAGAGACCGAUAGCGCACAAGUAGAGUGAUCGAAAGAUGAAAAGCACUUUGAAAAGAGGGUUAAAUAGCACGUGAAAUUGUUGAAAGGGAAGGAUUUGUGACCAGACUUUUUCUGGGCGGAUCAUCCGGGGUUCUCUCCGGUGCACUUUGCCCAGUAAAGGCCAGCAUCGAUUUUCGGCGGCGGAUAAAAGCAGUGGGAAUGUGGCUCCCUACGGGGAGUGUUAUAGCCCAUUGUAUAAUACGCUGCUGGGGAUCGAGGUACGCGCUUCUGCAAGGAUGCUGGCGUAAUGGUUAUCAAUCACCCGUCUUGAAACACGGACCAAGGAGUCGAACAUUUAUGCGAGUGUUUGGGUGUUAAACCCUCACGCGUAAUGAAAGUGAACGGAGGUGAGAGCCCGUACGGGUGCAUCAUCGACCGAUCCUGAAGUUUUCGGAUGGAUUUGAGUAAGAGCAUAACUGUUCGGACCCGAAAGAUGGUGAACUAUGCGUGGAUAGGGUGAAGCCAGAGGAAACUCUGGUGGAGGCUCGCAGCGGUUCUGACGUGCAAAUCGAUCGUCAAAUCUGCGCAUGGGGGCGAAAGACUAAUCGAACCAUCUAGUAGCUGGUUA